Molecule: ribosomal RNA, 253 nt
Filed under: uncultured Bacteroides sp.
Lineage: Bacteria; Pseudomonadati; Bacteroidota; Bacteroidia; Bacteroidales; Bacteroidaceae
Description: partial 16S ribosomal RNA
Rfam family: Bacterial small subunit ribosomal RNA
Source: RNAcentral
UACGGAGGAUCCGAGCGUUAUCCGGAUUUAUUGGGUUUAAAGGGAGCGUAGGUGGAUUGUUAAGUCAGUUGUGAAAGUUUGCGGCUCAACCGUAAAAUUGCAGUUGAAACUGGCAGUCUUGAGUACAGUAGAGGUGGGCGGAAUUCGUGGUGUAGCGGUGAAAUGCAUAGAUAUCGCGCAGAACCCCGAUUGCGAAGGCAGCCUGCCGGCCCCACACUGACGCUGAGGCACGAAAGCGUGGGGAGCAAACAGG